ACUGGGGGUAAAUUUUUUUUUUUUUUUUGAACGAAUGUUAAAUUCUUAUUCAAAAAAGCCUUUUACAUGUGUGACCUCUGUACAUAUAACUUCUUUAGAGACCACUAUAGAUUAUUAGAUUAUAAGGAUAUUCACAUUCUUGUAAACCAAAAUUGAAUAAUACCCUCCAAUUUCUUCCCACCUUUCCCUCUCAUUAGACUAAGCUUAUUUUUUACUCCUUUCUCAAUCAACUUCUUCAAACUCAACAAGGGGAUGGUCUUUUCUCCAUAUCUUAUCUUAUUUCUCUCCCGCCAUAAUGUGUGGAUGGAAGCUUGUAAGGAGUACCUGAUACAGAACAGAGCUUUCUUCUCCAUGUUUCUUGCGGUAAUCAGCCUCACAAUGUCAUCCCAUUGGACCGUAUAGUCAGUACUGGGGGUAAAUUUCUGGCAUCUCCGAUCAGAUUCGUUGUUGACUCUCGAAGGAUCAAAAACUUUUUCAAAGAGCCGACAAAACAAAGUAAAGUCUUUACUUACCGAUGGUUUCUUUUUUCUUUAGUUGAACUAUGUACCGUAAUGGAAAAAUUAUUUUUUUAUUCUGCAUUACAUGAAUUAUUUAACAAAUCUUUGCUUACUCUUUGUUCUUGUUCUAACACCAAUUAUUUAUCCUGCAUUACAUGAUUUCUAUAUUUAUGUGCGGUAUAUACAUGCAAGCCAUCAAUAUUUAUCAUUCAUGUACUGAUAAUUAGAUAACCUUGCACGCUUGAUGAUUCUUAGGUUAUAUAGUGUAGUGACAUAUAUACUGUUAAGCUUAUGUUUUGUAAUCUAUGAUACUAUUUUUGUUUUCAUCAAAGUAAAUACGUAGACUAAUUUGUUCACUGCAUUUUUUCUACUUGUUCCCUUUUGAAUUACUCUCUCGCUAGUCGCUACUUCAUUCUAUAUUGAAUUACUCUAUAGUCUAUAUUGUUGCUUUAUAGGUGUUUAAUGGAUAGUAUCUUCAAAAAACUGUGAACGAAGAUAAGUAAAUUUUUUUUUUGCUUAUACAGUUUCUAAUGCUACGAUACAUUGUUCUUACAGACUUGUAGUUAAAUAUUGAGGUGCAUGGAAAUGAAUUAGUCAAGGAGUGGAACAGUAUGAUGACUGUUUCUUAUUGUGUAAUUGUAUUUUUUCUAAUAUAAUUGUUUUCAAUCUUCUUUAGGAUAAAGAAUGAGACAUUUAUCCUUGGCGAAUGUUGAUAUAAGAUAGAACAUAGCACAAAGAAAGAUAAGAAGUUACCUCAUUAAAAAAAUCAAAGAAUUAAGAAUAGUUUACUUACCUUCAGGAUGACCCCCUUCUGUAUGGUCAAAAACAGGGUUCGUUUUAAGCACGAGCUCGUUUCAACUACUUAAAGCACGGGAAUCUUCUUACCAGACAUAAAGCAGCUCAAAAUCGUUUACCUUCUCGUCAAAGAGAAUGAUCUCUAAAGUCUCACCAAAACCGGCAUUGGAUGGUUUCCAGGUGUGUAUGACUUUGGUUUCAAUCAACCAAGUUGUUUUCCAUGGCCUAAUCUCAUCAAGUUUGCAGAAUCCAAUAAACUUUCAAGCUUGGUAUCGCUGGAACAUCAUUAUCAAUAUACAAAGAGAUGGUACAUCUAAUCUAUAAGAAAAGAAAAUCAGUGUUGAUGCAAUUGAAGUUUAUUUAAA
Brassica oleracea var. oleracea is the source of this 1657-nucleotide long non-coding RNA. RefSeq lists it as uncharacterized. Lineage: Eukaryota; Viridiplantae; Streptophyta; Magnoliopsida; Brassicales; Brassicaceae. The transcript is spliced from 3 exons. The record is from RefSeq and is a predicted model, not a curated record.